RNAcentral lists this ribosomal RNA (253 nucleotides) under uncultured bacterium. Its description in RNAcentral is "partial 16S ribosomal RNA". It matches the Rfam family "Bacterial small subunit ribosomal RNA", at positions 524 to 776 of the family's 1533-position model. The record is from RNAcentral.
UAAAGAGGGUGCAAGCGUUAAUCGGAAUUACUGGGCGUAAAGCGCGCGUAGGCGGCCGCCUAAGUCGGGUGUGAAAGCCCCGGGCUCAACCUGGGAACUGCAUUCGAUACUGGACGGCUAGAGUAUGGGAGAGGGAGGUAGAAUUCCACGUGUAGCGGUGAAAUGCGUAGAUAUGUGGAGGAAUACCGGUGGCGAAGGCGGCCUCCUGGCUCAAUACUGACGCUGAGGUGCGAAAGCGUGGGGAGCAAACAGG